AACGUCUCCUGAUUAGGGAUUACAAGAGACGUCUCUUCUCUUGCUCUAUCUCUUCUUCUCGUCUCUGCUGUCUCUCUAAUCUCUUUCUCUCUCCUUCUCUCGACUGGAUUCUUGAACUCAUCUUCCCCAUCCACAACCAUGACUGAGGUAGAGAGAGAGAGGAGAACUCAUCUUGUUAAUUUGAAAUUGAUCUGAAGUCUUGUAGAGAGAGGAGAAGUCUUCGAAGUUGAGACCGGCGUUUCCAGGUUGGAUGUAGGACUCGACGGUGGACUUGAGGUCGAGACGAGAGAGAGCUUGGCUUAGCUCCUCGAGGGUGAUGAAACCGUCGCCGUUAUGAUUGAAUAAGUCGAAGAUGCGUUGGAGACGAAGAGCGUUCAAGCUCGGGCUUCGUCGGACAGUAAACUCGUAGACAAAGAGCUCAAGUAGUUUCUAACGAGGCUGUAAAGCUGGUUGCUGCAGGGGACAAGGAUGGGAACGUUGGAUUUUGGAAUCUUGAUUGUCAUAACGAGGAAGAGGAUGGUGGUGUAUCUGUUCAAGCCUCACACUUAUUCAGUUACAUAUCUUUGUCUUUCAACAAAACUCUUUCUCAAAGGGAGUCUGGUGACCCUGGCAAAAGGAAGUCUUGAUAUUUGAUACAGAUAAAGGCAACGAAUAUGAGAACUUGCCGUCCAUGGUGCCUUGGAUAUAAACGAGAAAAGCGGUAUACGAUCAGUACCAACGUAUUUUGGAACUGAGGAAGAGGAUGAUGAUAGUCCAUAUAUGGAAGAGUUUGAUGAGGCUGACAAUGUGGUGGAAAAUGAUACGGUGACUCUUCAGUCAACUUAUCUUGUGGCUCAUGAACAUGAUGAUGAUAACAUUCUCCGAACUCGUACAAAUGAUACUCAGCAUAACCUCGAAAAUUCGUAAGAGAAAAGAUGGUAUUAAAAAGAGGAAGCGACUUAAUUCACCUCCUGACACAGAAAAUAAACUGCCUCUUGAGAACAAUGAUAAUGUCUCAUAACCAGCAAGAGCUCCAUGUAUAACAAGUACCCAACCAGAAAUAGCUCAGUCUUCUGAACCUAAGUUGCAUUUUGCUUCAAGGAGAAAAAUGUUAUACCCAGUGCGGGCACCUUUCACCUGAACACAGCAGCUUCAUCACCAUCAACCUCUCAAAAUCUUGCUAAUGGCAUCUAGCAGCAAGCAAUGGAGCUUGAUCCAGAAUAACAGCAACCAUGGUGAUGGUUGACAUGUAGUUAUCAACUCCAUGUACUCUGAUCAAGACAGAGAUCACUCCCUGAUACUAUUUUCUUUCUUUCAUUUUUACUAUGAAGUGAACUUUUAGUUUAACUU
Brassica napus (rape) is the source of this 1329-nucleotide long non-coding RNA. RefSeq lists it as uncharacterized. The transcript is spliced from 5 exons. The record is from RefSeq and is a predicted model, not a curated record. NCBI's taxonomy places the organism in Eukaryota, Viridiplantae, Streptophyta, Magnoliopsida, Brassicales, Brassicaceae.